Molecule: ribosomal RNA, 472 nt
Filed under: uncultured bacterium
Lineage: Bacteria
Description: bacterial SSU rRNA
Rfam family: Bacterial small subunit ribosomal RNA
Source: RNAcentral
GGACCAGACUCCUACGGGAGGCAGCAGUGGGGAAUAUUGCACAAUGGGCGCAAGCCUGAUGCAGCCAUGCCGCGUGUAUGCAGAAGGCCUUCGGGUUGUAAAGUACUUUCAGCGGGGAGGAAGGCGAUAAGGUUAAUAACCUUGUUGAUUGACGUUACCCGCAGAAGACGCACCGUCUAACUCCGUGCCAGCAGCCCCGGUAAUCCGGAGGGUGCAAGCGUUAAUCGGAAUUACUGGGCGUAAAGCGCACGCAGGCGGUCUGUCAAGUCGGAUGUGAAAUCCCCGGGCUCAACCUGGGAACUGCAUUCGAAACUGGCAGGCUGGAGUCUUGUAGAGGGGGGUAGAAUUCCAGGUGUAGCGGUGAAAUGCGUAGAGAUCUGGAGGAAUACCGGUGGCGAAGGCGGCCCCCUGGACAAAGACUGACGCACAGGUGCGAAAGCGUGGGGAGCAGACAGGAUUAGAUACCCGAGUA